GUAGAAAUGGCAGAUAAGUGCGCUAGAUUUAAGCUCUAGAUAUGAAGAUCAUGUCUUCUUUUUACG
This 66-nucleotide transfer RNA is filed under the name Melanoides tuberculata. Its description in RNAcentral is "tRNA-Leu". It matches the Rfam family "tRNA". Rfam says of the family: Transfer RNA (tRNA) molecules are approximately 80 nucleotides in length. Their secondary structure includes four short double-helical elements and three loops (D, anti-codon, and T loops). Lineage: Eukaryota; Metazoa; Mollusca; Gastropoda; Thiaridae. The record is from RNAcentral.